Molecule: transfer RNA, 76 nt
Filed under: Leptothrix sp. (in: b-proteobacteria)
Lineage: Bacteria; Pseudomonadati; Pseudomonadota; Betaproteobacteria; Burkholderiales; Sphaerotilaceae
Also listed under: 3 other names
Description: tRNA-Arg
Rfam family: tRNA
About the family: Transfer RNA (tRNA) molecules are approximately 80 nucleotides in length. Their secondary structure includes four short double-helical elements and three loops (D, anti-codon, and T loops).
Source: RNAcentral
GCGCUCGUAGCUCAGUGGAUAGAGUACUGGCCUCCGAAGCCAGGGGUCGCUGGUUCGAUCCCAGCCGGGCGCGCCA